GACGAACGCUGGCGGCGUGCCUAAUACAUGCAAGUCGUGCGGACUUUGCGGGAGCUUGCUCCCAAGAAGUUAGCGGCGGACGGGUGAGUAACACGUGGGCAACCUGCCUGACAGACUGGGAUAACAUUCGGAAACAAAUGCUAAUACCGGAUAGGCAGCGAAGAGGCAUCUCUUUGCUGAGAAAGGCGCUACGGCGUCACUGUCAGAUGGGCCCGCGGCGCAUUAGCUAGUUGGUAGGGUAACGGCCUACCAAGGCGGCGAUGCGUAGCCGACCUGAGAGGGUGACCGGCCACACUGGGACUGAGACACGGCCCAGACUCCUACGGGAGGCAGCAGUAGGGAAUCUUCCACAAUGGGCGAAAGCCUGAUGGAGCAACGCCGCGUGAGUGAUGAAGGCCUUCGGGUUGUAAAACUCUGUCUUCUGGGACGAACGGCCAAGAGAGGGAAUGCUCUUGGAUUGACGGUACCAGAGGAGGAAGCCACGGCUAACUACGUGCCAGCCGCCGCCGUAA
Molecule: ribosomal RNA, 512 nt
Filed under: uncultured bacterium
Lineage: Bacteria
Description: partial 16S ribosomal RNA
Rfam family: Bacterial small subunit ribosomal RNA
Source: RNAcentral